RNAcentral lists this ribosomal RNA (348 nucleotides) under Triticum aestivum (bread wheat). RNAcentral describes it as "partial small subunit ribosomal RNA". Lineage: Eukaryota; Viridiplantae; Streptophyta; Magnoliopsida; Poales; Poaceae. The record is from RNAcentral.
AUGGACCUGGACGGCUUCCCACUUGACCACGAGUUUCCGGACGACUACGGGCAAGAGGAAGAGGACGAGUUCGACAUCGAAGUGGAGCCUUUGUUCGAGGACGAGCUCGCCAACCAAGCUGCCGGUCCGAAGCCGAAGCGCAAGAGCAAGCGCACGAAGGCAUACACGGCGGCCGAGGACAAGCUUCUUUGCGAGUGUUGGCGAUACAUUGGACAAGACCCCAAGACGGGAGCCGAAUAAAAGCAUUCAACCUUUUGGAUUCGUGUCCACCGGGAGUUUCAUGAGCGCAAGAAGUUUCCGCCUUACCAAAUUGUGAGCACGCGCGGGUGGGUGUCCAUUUCGAAGUGA